Molecule: ribosomal RNA, 504 nt
Filed under: uncultured bacterium
Lineage: Bacteria
Description: partial 16S ribosomal RNA
Rfam family: Bacterial small subunit ribosomal RNA
Source: RNAcentral
AUUGAACGCUGGCGGCAGGCCUAACGCAUGCAAGUCGAACGGUAGCACAGAGAGCUUGCUCUCGGGUGACGAGUGGCGGACGGGUGAGUAACGUCUGGGAAACUGCCCGAUGGAGGGGGAUAACUACUGGAAACGGUAGCUAAUACCGCAUAACGUCACAAGACCAAAGUGGGGGACCUUCGGGCCUCACACCAUCGGAUGUGCCCAGAUGGGAUUAGCUAGUAGGUGGGGUAAUGGCUCACCUAGGCGACGAUCCCUAGCUGGUCUGAGAGGAUGACCAGCCACACUGGAACUGAGACACGGUCCAGACUCCUACGGGAGGCAGCAGUGGGGAAUAUUGCACAAUGGGCGCAAGCCUGAUGCAGCCAUGCCGCGUGUAUGAAGAAGGCCUUCGGGUUGUAAAGUACUUUCAGCGGGGAGGAAGGCGGUGAAGUUAACAGCUUCACCGAUUGACGUUACCCGCAGAAGAAGCACCGGCUAACUCCGUGCCAGCCGCCGCUGUAA